GGUUAAGUUAGAAAGGGCGCACGGUGGAUGCCUUGGCACUAGGAGCCGAUGAAGGACGGGACGAACACCGAUAUGCUUCGGGGAGCUGUAAGCAAGCUUUGAUCCGGAGAUUUCCGAAUGGGGAAACCCCCACUCGUAAUGGAGUGGUAUCCAUAUCUGAAUACAUAGGAUAUGAGAAGGCAGACCCGGGAACUGAAACAUCUAAGUACCCGGAGGAAGAGAAAGCAAAUGCGAUUCCCUGAGUAGCGGCGAGCGAAACGGGACCAGCCCAAACCAAGAGGCUUGCCUCUUGGGGUUGUAGGACACUCUGUACGGAGUUACAAAGGAACGAGGUAGAUGAAGAGGUCUGGAAAGGCCCGCCAUAGAAGGUAACAGCCCUGUAGUCAAAACUUCGUUCUCUCCUGAGUGGAUCCUGAGUACGGCGGAACACGUGAAAUUCCGUCGGAAUCCGGGAGGACCAUCUCCCAAGGCUAAAUACUCCCUAGUGACCGAUAGUGAACCAGUACCGUGAGGGAAAGGUGAAAAGCACCCCGGAAGGGGAGUGAAAGAGAUCCUGAAACCGUGUGCCUACAAGUAGUCAGAGCCCGUUAACGGGUGAUGGCGUGCCUUUUGUAGAAUGAACCGGCGAGUUACGAUCCCGUGCAAGGUUAAGCAGAAGAUGCGGAGCCGCAGCGAAAGCGAGUCUGAAUAGGGCGAAUUGAGUACGUGGUCGUAGACCCGAAACCAGGUGAUCUACCCAUGUCCAGGGUGAAGUUCAGGUAACACUGAAUGGAGGCCCGAACCCACGCACGUUGAAAAGUGCGGGGAUGAGGUGUGGGUAGGGGUGAAAUGCCAAUCGAACCUGGAGAUAGCUGGUUCUCUCCGAAAUAGCUUUAGGGCUAGCCUCAAGGUAAGAGUCUCGGAGGUAGAGCACUGAUUGGACUAGGGGCCCCUACCGGGUUACCGAAUUCAGUCAAACUCCGAAUGCCGAUGACUUAUCCUUGGGAGUCAGACUGCGAGUGAUAAGAUCCGUAGUCGAAAGGGAAACAGCCCAGACCGCCAGCUAAGGUCCCAAAGUAUACGUUAAGUGGAAAAGGAUGUGGAGUUGCUUAGACAACCAGGAUGUUGGCUUAGAAGCAGCCACCAUUUAAAGAGUGCGUAAUAGCUCACUGGUCGAGUGACUCUGCGCCGAAAAUGUACCGGGGCUAAACGUAUCACCGAAGCUGCGGACUGUUCUUCGAACAGUGGUAGGAGAGCGUUCUAAGGGCUGUGAAGCAAGACCGGAAGGACUUGUGGAGCGCUUAGAAGUGAGAAUGCCGGUAUGAGUAGCGAAAGAGGGGUGAGAAUCCCCUCCACCGAAUGCCUAAGGUUUCCUGAGGAAGGCUCGUCCGCUCAGGGUUAGUCGGGACCUAAGCCGAGGCCGAAAGGCGUAGGCGAUGGAUAACAGGUUGAUAUUCCUGUACCACCUCCUCACCAUUUGAGCAAUGGGGGGACGCAGGAGGAUAGGGUAAGCGCGGUAUUGGAUAUCCGCGUCCAAGCAGUUAGGCUGGGAAAUAGGCAAAUCCGUUUCCCGUGAAGGCUGAGCUGUGAUGGCGAGCGAAUUAUAGUAGCGAAGUUCCUGAUUCCACACUGCCAAGAAAAGCCUCUAGCGAGGUGAGAGGUGCCCGUACCGCAAACCGACACAGGUAGGCGAGGAGAGAAUCCUAAGGUGAUCGAGAGAACUCUCGUUAAGGAACUCGGCAAAAUGACCCCGUAACUUCGGGAGAAGGGGUGCUCUGUUAGGGUGCAAGCCCGAGAGAGCCGCAGUGAAUAGGCCCAGGCGACUGUUUAGCAAAAACACAGGUCUCUGCGAAGCCGUAAGGCGAAGUAUAGGGGCUGACGCCUGCCCGGUGCUGGAAGGUUAAGAGGAGCGCUUAGCGUAAGCGAAGGUGCGAAUUGAAGCCCCAGUAAACGGCGGCCGUAACUAUAACGGUCCUAAGGUAGCGAAAUUCCUUGUCGGGUAAGUUCCGACCCGCACGAAAGGCGCAACGAUCUGGGCACUGUCUCAACGAGAGACUCGGUGAAAUUAUAGUACCUGUGAAGAUGCAGGUUACCCGCGACAGGACGGAAAGACCCCGUGGAGCUUUACUGCAGCCUGAUAUUGAAUGUUGGUACAGCUUGUACAGGAUAGGUAGGAGCCUUGGAAACCGGAGCGCCAGCUUCGGUGGAGGCAUCGGUGGGAUACUACCCUGGCUGUAUUGACCUUCUAACCCGCCGCCCUUAUCGGGCGGGGAGACAGUGUCAGGUGGGCAGUUUGACUGGGGCGGUCGCCUCCUAAAAGGUAACGGAGGCGCCCAAAGGUUCCCUCAGAAUGGUUGGAAAUCAUUCGCAGAGUGUAAAGGCACAAGGGAGCUUGACUGCGAGACCUACAAGUCGAGCAGGGACGAAAGUCGGGCUUAGUGAUCCGGUGGUUCCGCAUGGAAGGGCCAUCGCUCAACGGAUAAAAGCUACCCGGGGAUAACAGGCUUAUCUCCCCCAAGAGUCCACAUCGACGGGGAGGUUUGGCACCUCGAUGUCGGCUCAUCGCAUCCUGGGGCUGUAGUCGGUCCCAAGGGUUGGGCUGUUCGCCCAUUAAAGCGGUACGCGAGCUGGGUUCAGAACGUCGUGAGACAGUUCGGUCCCUAUCCGUCGCGGGCGCAGGAAAUUUGAGAGGAGCUGUCCUUAGUACGAGAGGACCGGGAUGGACGCACCGCUGGUGUACCAGUUGUUCUGCCAAGGGCAUCGCUGGGUAGCUAUGUGCGGACGGGAUAAGUGCUGAAAGCAUCUAAGCAUGAAGCCCCCCUCAAGAUGAGAUUUCCCAUUCCGCAAGGAAGUAAGAUCCCUGAAAGAUGAUCAGGUUGAUAGGUCUGAGGUGGAAGUGUGGCGACACAUGGAGCUGACAGAUACUAAUCGAUCGAGGACUUAACCAA
RNAcentral lists this ribosomal RNA (2927 nucleotides) under Bacillus velezensis. RNAcentral's name for it is "23S ribosomal RNA". It matches the Rfam family "Bacterial large subunit ribosomal RNA". The record is from RNAcentral. Lineage: Bacteria; Bacillati; Bacillota; Bacilli; Caryophanales; Bacillaceae.